UCCUUUGGGAGCAGAGUGACAGGUGGUGCAUGGUUGUUGUCAGGUUGUGUUGUGAGAAGUUGGGUUAAGUUCCGGAAAGAGGGCAACCCCUGAUUUUAGUUGCCAUCAUUUAGUUGGGCAAUUUAAGGUGACUGCCGGUGACAAACCGGAGGAAGGUGGGGAUGACGUCAAAUCAUCAUGCCCCUUAUGACCUGGGGUACACACGUGGUACAAUGGACGGUACAAAGAGCUGCAAGACCGCGAGGUGGAGGUAAUUUCAUAAAACCGUUUCUCAGUUCGGAUUGUAGGCUGCAACUUGCCUACAUGAAGGUGGAAUCGGUAGUAAUUGCGGAUCAGCAUGCCGCGGUGAAUACGUUCCCGGGCCUUGUACACACCGCCCGUCACACCCCGGAGGGUUUGUUACCCCCCGACGUCCGGCUGGGGGUCACCCUUAAUGGAGCCAGCCGGCCUAUUGGGUGGCGAGCUGCCUUG
This 471-nucleotide ribosomal RNA is filed under the name Bacillus sp. (in: firmicutes). Its description in RNAcentral is "bacterial SSU rRNA". It matches the Rfam family "Bacterial small subunit ribosomal RNA", at positions 1016 to 1478 of the family's 1533-position model. The record is from RNAcentral. Lineage: Bacteria; Bacillati; Bacillota; Bacilli; Caryophanales; Bacillaceae.